Molecule: long non-coding RNA, 597 nt
Filed under: Salmo salar (Atlantic salmon)
Lineage: Eukaryota; Metazoa; Chordata; Actinopteri; Salmoniformes; Salmonidae
Description: lncRNA (ENSSSAG00000108593.1)
Source: RNAcentral
CUCACUGUAGUAGACUGUAGGCUGCAUCUCACUGUAGUAGACUGUAGGCUGCAUCUCACUGUAGUAGCCUGUAGACUGCAUCUCAUUGUAGUAGGCUGUAAGCUGCAUCUCAUUGUAGUAGCCUGUAGACUGCAUCUCAUUGUAGUAGGCUGUAAGCUGCAUCUCAUUGUAGUAGGCUGUAGACUGCAUCUCACUGUAAUAGGCUGCAUCUCACUGUAGUAGGCCGUAGGCUGCAUCUCAUUGUAGUAGGCUGUAGGCUGCAUCUCACUUUAGUAGGCUGUAGGCUGCAUCUCACUGUAGUAGGCUGCAUCUCACUGUAGUAGGCUGCAUCUCACUGUAGUAGGCUGUAUCUCACUGUAGUAGGCUGUAGACUGCAUCUCACUAUAGUAGGCUGUAGACUGCAUCUCACUGUAAUAGGCUGCAUCUCACUGUAGUAGGCCGUAGGCUGCAUCUCACUGUAGUAGGCUGUAGGCUGCAUCUCACAGUAGUAGUCUGCAUCUCACUGUAGUAGACUGUAGGCUGCAUCUCACUGUAGUAGGCUGUAGUCUGUAUCUCACUGUAGUAGGCUGUAGUCUGUAUCUCACUGUGGUAGGCUGC